Molecule: non-coding RNA, 224 nt
Organism: Pelobates cultripes (western spadefoot toad)
Lineage: Eukaryota; Metazoa; Chordata; Amphibia; Anura; Pelobatidae
Source: the annotation of a GenBank genome assembly
GGUUAGGGCUCAUUUGCAUGUUAAGCUAGGUACUCUGGAUUGUUGUGGAAAGAAGGACCACUCAAUGUACAGUUGAGAUAUGCAGGUGAUAACUAAUUUUGUAUAACCUGUAGCACUGAAUUCCUCCAGCUAUCCAAUACUGGAGUUACAUCUAGUGGCCAUUUAUGAGAAUGGUUCAAUCUUCAUUCAUAGUUGUUCCUCACAUAAUUUAGUUAUCACCUUUG